RNAcentral lists this small RNA (78 nucleotides) under Flavobacterium sp. 9R. RNAcentral describes it as "Flavo-1". It matches the Rfam family "Flavo-1 RNA". The record is from RNAcentral. Lineage: Bacteria; Pseudomonadati; Bacteroidota; Flavobacteriia; Flavobacteriales; Flavobacteriaceae.
UUUUAGCCCCGGUAGUAGCGGCAUCCUUUGCUUUUUUUCUUUAAAAAAGCAAAGAUAUAGCGGUUGACGGGUUCUAUG